Molecule: long non-coding RNA, 666 nt
Organism: Lolium rigidum
Lineage: Eukaryota; Viridiplantae; Streptophyta; Magnoliopsida; Poales; Poaceae
Exons: 3
Source: RefSeq, a predicted model, not a curated record
AUGUAAUGGAAACAGAAGGCAUAUACAAACCAAUGGGACAGUCAAUCGCAUCUGACUGUCUUAAGGUAGUUGAAAUCAAAUGUGUAUAUUUCGAUAGGAGUGUUCACAAAAUUCUGAAGAUCCUGACUACUUAUGGCAUACGACUUGAGCAAAUUAAUAUCCAACAUACCAACAAAAUUUCUGGAUCUGGAUGUUUCAGUUUUGUCUGUACUGGUUUCAGCGAAAACUAGAGUUGUCUAGGUAUGACGUCCUGCGGUGGGGCUACAGGAAGAAGCCACAUACUCGUGGCAGCUAUCUGCACUGGAGGAGAGGUACUCCACCACAUUCAUUCAGUGUGCUGUUCACAAGUCCUUGUUGGUCCCCCACUGCUGCUCCUCGUCGUUCAAAAGCCUUUCCCGCUAAUGGUUUUGUACUCCAAACCAGACCAUUGCAGUGUUUGUUCUGUGUUGGUAGGGCUGCAGGCGGCACCGGCAAAGUGACCCUAUGUGUAAACCGCUAGUGCAAACUGCUGUAGCGCAUCCCUAUGUGUUGGCAAUGCUUCCGAUCGAUGUAAGAAAACCAUUGCGCUAGUUCCGGUUAAAGAAUCCCUCAAUUUCCAAACUGGGCUAUUGUAUUGCCAUGUUGCUAAGAAGCAGAUCAAGUUGCUCGGAAAUGCAGGAAUGAAAA